UGGGGAAUAUUGCACAAUGGGCGCAAGCCUGAUGCAGCCAUGCCGCGUGUAUGAAGAAGGCCUUCGGGUUGUAAAGUACUUUCAGCGGGGAGGAAGGGAGUAAAGUUAAUACCUUUGCUCAUUGACGUUACCCGCAGAAGAAGCACCGGCUAACUCCGUGCCAGCAGCCGCGGUAAUACGGAGGGUGCAAGCGUUAAUCGGAAUUACUGGGCGUAAAGCGCACGCAGGCGGUCUGUCAAGUCGGAUGUGAAAUCCCCGGGCUCAACCUGGGAACUGCAUUCGAAACUGGCAUGCUAGAGUCUUGUAGAGUGGGGUAGAAUUCCAGGUGUAGCGGUGAAAUGCGUAGAGAUCUGGAGGAAUACCGGUGGCGAAGGCGGCCCCCUGGACAAAGACUGACGCUCAGGUGCGAAAGCGUGGGGAGCAAACAGG
This 429-nucleotide ribosomal RNA is filed under the name Chloroflexota bacterium. RNAcentral describes it as "Chloroflexi bacterium partial 16S ribosomal RNA". It matches the Rfam family "Bacterial small subunit ribosomal RNA", at positions 355 to 776 of the family's 1533-position model. The record is from RNAcentral. Lineage: Bacteria; Bacillati; Chloroflexota.